Molecule: long non-coding RNA, 4824 nt
Filed under: Gossypium barbadense (sea-island cotton)
Lineage: Eukaryota; Viridiplantae; Streptophyta; Magnoliopsida; Malvales; Malvaceae
Description: long non-coding RNA (GBAR_LNC004855)
Source: RNAcentral
GAGAAGCUGGUGCAAAAUGAUGAAUUAGUGGAGAAGAGUAAAUUGGAGAAGAUGGUUAAGGUCGGAUUAUGGUGCACCCAAGAUGAAGCAUCAUCUCGACCGUCGAUGAAAAGAGUUAUCUUGAUGCUAGAAGGGACGGUUAAUAUACCUGAUCCUCCACCGCUUAGCUCCUUCGUUAGUUCUCCUUAGAUCAUGUUUGAGUCACGAGAUAAGACUUUAACUUUGCCAAACGUAAAAAAUAUAGUGUUCAUACUUAUGUAGUUGUGAAUUACACUAAUGAAUCACGAUAGAUAUAUACAUAUUUAUAUAUGUAUAUAUUAUCAGCCUGAUGAAAUUUACACUGUAAUCACGAAAUUUUUCUAUAAUAUUAGAACAUAGGAAGAUGUUGAAUCUUAAAUUUAUUAAAUACUUAUUAAGAGGUAAGAAUAUAUCAUUAGUUGAUUCAAUUUUUAUAUAUCAAGAAUCUAAUGAACGAAUUAACCAAACUGAGUUGGAAGGAUAUUUUUUUUUUGAAAAUCUAUUUAUAAAAUUAAUUAAUUAAUUAAGUUGGGUUGGGUUCUAUUGGGCAGGGUAGGCUUGUUUUAUAUUUGCGCAAUUUAAUUGGGUUAGGUUAUUUACCGAAAUUAAUUAAUUGGGUUAUUUUAUAUUUCAAUAUUUUUUAUAAUUAAUUAAUUAAUUAAUUAAUUAUGUGGUUGGAUUUAUUUUAUAUUUGGGUUGGCUCACAUAUAUAUAGAUUUAUUUAUGGGUCGGAUCGAUUCAAAAAGUGAGAGGGUUUGAAAAAAAUAUAAGUUUAAAAAAUGGGCUUUAGCAAAAAUAUAAGUCCUAUUUAGAAAACGAGUCGAGUCUUGGACAAAAUUUUUUAAUCCAUUUGGAAAAUGGGUUGCUGUUUUUCUACUGUUUCGCUAUUAUGUUGUUACUAUUUUAUUGUUAUUGUUUAAAUAUUGUAUAACUUUUAUUUAUUGUUAAUUUUGUUAUUAUUGUAGAGACAUUUGCUUGUUAAGUUGCAUCUAUCUUAAUAUUAUUUAAGUAUAAAUAAUUUUAUUUAAUUUAUUUUUAAUUUGUUAAAAAAUUUAUUUUAAUAUUUUUAAUAUUUUUAUGUAUUAUAUUUUUUAAUUUUUUAUUUAAAAACAAUAUAAAAUUUUUAAUAUAGGUGGACAAAGCUAAACCCAUAAACACUCUAUAUAUAUAAUAAUAUCGAUGUAAAUUGAACUUAUCACUAUCUAUAAGAACCGAAGACUUGAAAUCAAGGCAGUAGGUUAAUUGACAACAAAUUAGUACCGUUGGUUUUCCGUUUACUUAGAACAGUCAACCAAAGAAAAAGACGGUAGAAAAGUCAGUCAACGGUGGAAAAGUCAGUCAACCAAAGAAAAAGACGGUAGAAAAGUCCUUAAUCGUGAAUCUCAAGGGGUGUAUUUUGUUGAAUCUUUUAUAUGCUUUUUUCUUCCUUACACAAAGAUUUUUAACGACUGAAGGACUUUGAAAGGUCAAAUUCUAUUAUUAGUCCUUGUAUUAUAUGUAAAUUAUGGAUUUAAUCCUUACUUUAUUUUUUGACCAAUUUUAGUUCUUAUAUUUUUUCGUAUUCUAAAAUUUCAGUCCUAACUCAAAUUGCACAUGUUAAAUCUAUUAGGUAAAAUUAUGCUAUUAGUCCUAUUUUAUGCAUAAACGGUGAAUUGAAAUUCAAUCAUGAUUAAAAACAACAGUUAUCAAAACUAAUAACUAAUAAUAUUUGGUUUUUUUGUGUGUGUGAAUAUUAUGUGAAAAUAAUAAGUAGGCAUAUCGUUACACAUAUAAUAAUAUUUUAAAAACAGUAAAAUAUAACGAUUAUUGUUUGGCCAAGACUAGAAUUUUAAAUUUUGAAAAGUGAAGGUAAAAGAAAAGGGUUAAAUAUCAAAUUUAUACACGAACUUUGAUCCAAUUACAUCAAUGAACAUUGAUUUAGUACAAUUAUAUACAUGAAACUUGAAUUGUGGUUUAUAUAUAUAUUUAUAAAACUUUUAUUUUGAUUCAAUUGUAUACAUUAAAAAAAUUGAAUACAUACAAUUAUUUUUAUAUUGGAUUAAUAUAAUUAUUUGUGUAUGUAAUAUAUCAACAUAAAAUGAUGCUAGUUCAAUAAUGUGGUUUGUGAAAAUUUAAUCAAAUUAAAAUUUCAUGUAUAAAAUCGCAUAAAAGUAAUGUUCAUGUAUCAAAUUGUACAUUGCAUCAAAAUUCAUGUAUGAUUUCGAUAAUUAUCCAUCUAAAAAAAUAAAGUUCAAGCACAAGGACUAAAUCGAUAAUUUAGACUAGUAAUUUCUAACUUACAUUUCACGUCCUAAUGCACUAUUAUCACAUUGGAUCACAUCUACUUUUUUUCCUCACAAGCACCGCAAAAACAAGAAAACACACAAGCUCGAUCUUCCACUUUAAUGGCGUUUCUUGUUCUUCUUCUUCUUUUAAAUUUUGUAUUUAAUGCAAUAAAUGCUCAAUCAACAAGCACUAUUAUCAAACCAGGUUCUUUUCUUUCACCCAUUAAUAAUUCAUAUUUGCUAUCUCAUUCCGGCCAGUUCGCUUUCGGUUUCUACCGAUACAAAAACGGCUACUCCGUAGGCAUAUGGUUCGAAAACAUCCGGCAGAAAACAAUUGUAUGGACGGCUAACCGAGAUGCCUCGCCGUUCCCUAGCGAUGUCACAUUGGUUUUAACCACCGAAGGUACCCUUAUUGUUCGACCAAAGCAAGGUCAAGACGUACUCAUUGCCGAUACUAGUAGUGAUAACGUGUCACGGUUAGCAACUUCGGCCUCGAUGCUCGAUUCGGGUAACUUUGUUUUGUUGAAUUCGAGUGGUGGGAUCGUAUGGAAGAGUUUUGAUUUCCCGACCGAUACCAUUUUACCAGGACAACGUCUAGCGGUGACCGGUAAGCUCGUUUCGAGUGUUGCCGAGUCGGAUCAUGGUAGCGGAAAAUUUCUAAUUCUUAUGCGAAGUGAUGGGAAUUUGGUCCAAUACCCUGUUGGAGCAGUACUGGAACGUGGUGCUGCUUAUUGGGCUACUAAUACAUUUAAUGCUGGAUAUGGUGUGAGCUUGAAUCUUGAUGGUAAUGGUCACCUAUAUUUGUUAAAUGAUACCGGGUUCAACAUCAAAAGUAUUAAUACGAACUACGUUAAUGCCUCGGGUAAGUCCAUGUAUCGUGCAACAAUUGAUACGGAUGGUAUAUUUCGAUUGUACUCACAUAGUUCUAACCGAUUUGAUGACUGGUACACCGAAUGGUCAUCCUCUAAUUAUAGAUGCGAUCCUUUAGGUUUGUGCAGUGAGAAUAGUUAUUGUGUUAUGAUGGAUGGGGAACCCGUUUGUCAAUGUCCUCCUCAUUUUGAUUUUAUCAACGAGAAGCGAAAGGAAUUGGGUUGCCGAAAGAACUACAGUUUAGUUGCUUGUGAUACAAGAAAUGGCUGAACUUUUGAUUUUCUUGAGGUGAACGAUGUGUCUUGGAAAGAUGAUGCGUAUUCGAGUCUCUCGUCGAUGACAAAGAACAGUUGUAGAGCCGAGUGUUAUCGAGAUUGUCGUUGCGAAGCUGUUGUCUUCGAGAACGAGGUGUGUAAAAUGAUGAAGUUGCCGUUACGGUUUGGGAGGAGAGUAUCAAGUGGUCAAGUUACUGCAUUUUUGAUUGGUGGAGAACUUGCUGGUGUUGGGACAAGGAAAAGGAAAAGGAAGCUAAGAAUGGAUAUGUUAAUCAUUAGUAUUGCCAUGGCAUGCUUGACGCUGGGGUUUCUAGUUGUAGCAACGAUCGGCGUUCGAAAGUAUCGUGCUUAUGUUCGAAAAUACAAGCGUGUUUUGGGUUUGGUAAACAAUCGAGUUGCUGAAGAUGUUGCCUUGAAAUCAUUUUCCUUCGAGGAGCUUAAAGAUGCAACCAACAAUUUUGUGGACGUGAUCGGUAAAGGAGCUUACGGGACGGUUUUCAAAGGGGUGCUAUUCGAUGGCGAAAGAACAGUAGCCAUCAAGAGACUGGAAAAAGUGGUGGCCGAAGGUGAAAGAGAUUUCCUGAAUGAAAUGAAAGCCAUCGGGAAAACACAUCACAAGAACCUCGUUCGAUUGCUCGGUUAUUGCUACGACGGGACUAAUAGGCUUCUGGUUUACGAGUACAUGGAAAACGGUUCUCUUGCAGAUUUUCUUUUCAAAUCGAACUUAAAGGUAAAUUGGGAAGGAAGAGUCGAAAUAAUAUUGAGUAUAGCGAGAGGAAUUUGUUACUUGCAUGAAGAAUGCGAGACUCAGAUUAUCCAUUGCGAUAUCAAACCCGAAAACAUCCUAAUGGACGACAAAGGGUACGCGAAAAUUGCAGAUUUCGGAUUAGCCAAGCUAUUGAUGCCCAACCAAUCUCGGACAUACACUGAAAUCCGAGGGACGAGGGGAUAUGUUGCCCCAGAGUGGCAUCAAAACUUACCAAUAACUGUGAAAGCCGAUGUUUAUAGCUUCGGAAUAAUGCUGUUCGAGAUCAUUUGUUGUAGAAGGAGUCUGAAAAUGGAUGUUCCGGAAAACGAACAAGUUCUUGCAUAUUGGGUACAUGAUUGUUUCAAGGCUAAUGAAGUGGAGUAGCUGGUGCAAAAUGAUGAAUUAGUGGAGAAGAGUAAAUUGGAGAAGAUGGUUAAGGUCGGAUUAUGGUGCACCCAAGAUGAAGCAUCGUCUCGACCGUCGAUUAAAAGGGUUAUCUUGAUGCUAGAAGGGACGGCUAAUAUACCCGAUCCUCCACUCCUUAGCUCCUUUGUUAGUUCUCCUUGUUUGUGUCAAGGAUUAAGUUUAGAUUUUGAGUAUUCAAUUUAUUGAAUCCUCCUUAGUAAAAAUGUAUAUUCUCUCGAUUCAG